This 453-nucleotide long non-coding RNA is filed under the name Monomorium pharaonis (pharaoh ant). RNAcentral describes it as "uncharacterized LOC105832207, transcript variant X8". The record is from RNAcentral. Lineage: Eukaryota; Metazoa; Arthropoda; Insecta; Hymenoptera; Formicidae.
CUGCUAAUGGGAGGUUAAUAGAUUUUUUGUCUCUCCUUAGAUAAUAAUAUAGAGAAAGAUAGGUAGUCGAUUAACCUCCCGUUAGCAGUUAAUCGACGUUUGUGAAACUGGUCCUAAGUAAAUUAUAACAUCCAAUCAGUUGUAGAAUGUUGUAGACAGCCAGAAAACAAUUUCCUGCAGAGUAAAGCUGCCAAAUUCUGAGCCUGCUAUGUUUCCAAGUGUGCCAAAAUUAUAGAAAAUGUGCUACCCACAUUGGCAUUUGCAAGAAUGAGUUUGGGGAUACCAAUGGAAUGCUUGUCCAAAAAUCAAGGAUCAUUUCGCUAUUGUGAUUCGUUCAUGCCAAAAAUUGUGGAUGCCUCGCGAAACUUUGAAUACGCUUUUAGUGCUCAGAAAGAUAAAUGGUAAAUAAUAUUAUGCAUUUUAAAAUAUGUGAAUAAACGGUUUUAAGCUCGA